GCCAACAGCCAUACUACGCUGAAUACACCGGUUCUCGUCCAAUCACCGAAGUUAAGCAGCGUUAGGCGCGGUUAGUU
RNAcentral lists this ribosomal RNA (77 nucleotides) under Nasonia vitripennis (jewel wasp). Lineage: Eukaryota; Metazoa; Arthropoda; Insecta; Hymenoptera; Pteromalidae. The record is from RNAcentral.